UUUAACUCAUUCAGUUGUUUAAGUUUGACUUUUUGGGGAAUUAUACAUCUGUCUUUUAUUCUUCAAUUUCUUAAAAUGUUUCCUUGGAUUUUAGAUUUUAAAUUGUGGGAAUAUAUAGCAUAUUAUGCCUCUGUCCGUUAGAAAAUUUGACAGUCAGCAACGUUUGCUACAAUGUUCGAAGGAAUAUUUCAAUAUAUAUGGCAUUAAAAAGGGUGCAAUGUGAAGAGCAAACAGCAAUCAGACCAAGCAGCGAUACCUAGUGACACCUCCAAUCGGGAAAAGAAUGUAAAGUUUUUACAGUUGAAAGUGAAUAAAUAAGAUUUGACAAUGCUUGCCCAUUUCGUUUUAUCUUGAACCUGAUGACAGUGGCUGCAUUGUAAUGGUCUUAUUGGUCAGGGUGUACAGCCUAUUAGAAGGGUGAGCGAGGAUGGCUACCAUGGUUGGCCAUAGAAAGACUGCAAAGAGAGGAAACUUUUUAAACUUCUAUUAGCAAAUUUGUGCUCGUUGGACUUAAGGAUUUCGGCGUUCCUCAUUUCAGUUUUUGUUUGAGUGAGGAGAUGGCUCUUACAACCUCGAAUCCCACCAAAAUACACAUGAUUCUGUAUGGGUAUUUACAUGUUAUUGUGCAAAAAGAACAUUAGUUUUUGUUUUGCGAAUGGAAAUUCAUUAAUAGCUAAGGAUUUAAUACACGUGUGGAUUACUUAUUUUUCAUUGCAAAUGGUUUGUAUCGUCUUAAUCGUAGUUAAUAAGGUUUGUAAUUAUGAAAUAAAAAAAUAUUGAAUUUA
Long non-coding RNA from Mytilus californianus (California mussel), 785 nucleotides. RefSeq lists it as uncharacterized. The record is from RefSeq and is a predicted model, not a curated record. Lineage: Eukaryota; Metazoa; Mollusca; Bivalvia; Mytilida; Mytilidae. The transcript has 5 exons.